GACAGAGGAUGCAAGCGUUAUCCGGAAUGAUUGGGCGUAAAGCGUCUGUAGGUGGCUUUUUAAGUCUGCCGUCAAAUCCCAGGGCUUAACCCUGGACAGGCGGUGGAAACUACCAAGCUGGAGUACGGUAGGGGCAGGGGGAAUUUCCGGUGGAGCGGUGAAAUGCGUAGAGAUCGGAAAGAACACCAACGGCGAAGGCAGCUCGCUGGGACGUGACUGACGCUGAGACGCGAAAGCGUGGGGAGCAAACAGG
RNAcentral lists this ribosomal RNA (253 nucleotides) under uncultured bacterium. RNAcentral's name for it is "partial 16S ribosomal RNA". It matches the Rfam family "Bacterial small subunit ribosomal RNA", at positions 524 to 776 of the family's 1533-position model. The record is from RNAcentral.